This 61-nucleotide transfer RNA is filed under the name Cycetogamasus diviortus. RNAcentral describes it as "tRNA-Leu". The record is from RNAcentral. Lineage: Eukaryota; Metazoa; Arthropoda; Arachnida; Mesostigmata; Parasitidae.
AUUAAUGUGGCAGAGUAGUGCGAUAAAUUUAAGCUUUAUAUAUAUGUUAUAGUCAUUAAUA